GACAUCUUUCAUGCCAUCCUAAACACACCUGAUCCCAUUUGAUUUUAGAAGCUAAAUAGGGUUGGGUCUGACAGCUACAUGAAAGGGGUAUAUCUGGGAAAUUCCAGGGAUCUCC
RNAcentral lists this ribosomal RNA (115 nucleotides) under Pogona vitticeps (central bearded dragon). Lineage: Eukaryota; Metazoa; Chordata; Lepidosauria; Squamata; Agamidae. The record is from RNAcentral.